Molecule: small nuclear RNA, 103 nt
Organism: Rhododendron vialii
Lineage: Eukaryota; Viridiplantae; Streptophyta; Magnoliopsida; Ericales; Ericaceae
Source: RefSeq, a predicted model, not a curated record
GUUCCAUAGGCGACAUCCGAUAAAAUUGGAACAAUACAGAAAAGAUUAGCAUGACCCAUGUGCAAGGAUGACAUGCACAAAUUCAAUAAUGGUCCCAAAAAAU